UGGAGGUUGGAGCCCUGGUGG
RNAcentral lists this unclassified non-coding RNA (21 nucleotides) under Chlamydomonas reinhardtii. RNAcentral's name for it is "small RNA Cre_3267". Lineage: Eukaryota; Viridiplantae; Chlorophyta; Chlorophyceae; Chlamydomonadales; Chlamydomonadaceae. The record is from RNAcentral.